UAUCCUUAUAAUCUAGCUGAUUGGCGCUAGAGUAUCCACGACCGGACCUUAAUCCGGUGUAUCCAGGGAAA
RNAcentral lists this non-coding RNA (71 nucleotides) under unclassified sequences. RNAcentral describes it as "77-dG-II sequence". It matches the Rfam family "2dG-II purine riboswitch aptamer". From Rfam's summary of the family: Purine riboswitch variant that recognize 2'-deoxyguanosine The record is from Rfam by way of RNAcentral.